This 493-nucleotide ribosomal RNA is filed under the name uncultured bacterium. RNAcentral's name for it is "partial 16S ribosomal RNA". It matches the Rfam family "Bacterial small subunit ribosomal RNA", at positions 30 to 507 of the family's 1533-position model. The record is from RNAcentral.
UGAACGCUGGCGGCGUGCCUAAUACAUGCAAGUAGACCGCUGAAGGAGGAGCUUGCUCUUCUGGAUGAGUUGCGAACGGGUGAGUAACGCGUAGGUAACCUGCCUGGUAGCGGGGGAUAACUAUUGGAAACGAUAGCUAAUACCGCAUGACAACAGUUAUUGCAUGAUAACUGUUUAAAAGGGGCAACUGCUCCACUACCAGAUGGACCUGCGUUGUAUUAGCUAGUUGGUGAGGUAACGGCUCACCAAGGCGACGAUACAUAGCCGACCUGAGAGGGUGAUCGGCCACACUGGGACUGAGACACGGCCCAGACUCCUACGGGAGGCAGCAGUAGGGAAUCUUCGGCAAUGGACGGAAGUCUGACCGAGCAACGCCGCGUGAGUGAAGAAGGUUUUCGGAUCGUAAAGCUCUGUUGUAAGAGAAGAACGAGUGUGAGAGUGGAAAGUUCACACUGUGACGGUAUCUUACCAGAAAGGGACGGCUAACUACGUG